CACUGCGAUCUUAACAUUGUAAACAAUGCAUUCAAAUGUAAGUAGUGGCACUAUCUGGCAACAGGAUUUUGAAUGAUUUCAUUUGUUUCUUUAUUCUUACCUAGGUUUUCUUAAAUUUCUGUAAUGUGUACAUAUUUUUAGAAUUAGAAAAUAAAUUUUAAGGAAAAUAACCCUCAGCUGUAAUAGGCUUGUAAUUUAUAAUUUAUCUACAUAAGGGAAAGAGUGUGUGGUCACUUACCUGCCUGUGUCCCAAACUGGGUUUCUGGUGGAUGAAAUGUGCAUCUCAGGGACAUCAGUAUGUACACUAACUUAUUUGUUAUUUCACCAGACACGUGACUUCUGACACACAAUAUAGUCACAGUAGAGUUUCACAAAACACAUCACUAAAGUAUACUAAAAUAAGGUUAUUUACUUAGAAAUGAUACACUGUAUGUAAUCUAUAUAUAGAACAAAGCAAUCAAUGGUAAACUUAAUAAGGCAC
Molecule: long non-coding RNA, 481 nt
Filed under: Bos taurus (domestic cattle)
Lineage: Eukaryota; Metazoa; Chordata; Mammalia; Artiodactyla; Bovidae
Description: long non-coding RNA NONBTAT017243
Source: RNAcentral